GUGCUCACUUUGGUAGCACACAUACUAAAUUUGUAAUGAUACAGAGAAGAUUAAUAUGGCCCCUGCACAAGGAAGACACGCAAAUUUAUAAGACUAUUUUAGUAUUG
Suricata suricatta (meerkat) is the source of this 107-nucleotide small nuclear RNA. The record is from Ensembl. Lineage: Eukaryota; Metazoa; Chordata; Mammalia; Carnivora; Herpestidae.